This 208-nucleotide long non-coding RNA is filed under the name Capsicum annuum. Its description in RNAcentral is "long non-coding RNA (CANN_LNC009816)". The record is from RNAcentral. Lineage: Eukaryota; Viridiplantae; Streptophyta; Magnoliopsida; Solanales; Solanaceae.
UGGCUGUGUGGAUCCACUAAACUGAUAUUGUGUCCAAAGGACUAAGGGUGUCAAGCCUAAACUGACGGGUGGCCCCUGGAAGAUAGUCAAGCCUAAUCUGAUGGGUGACUACUCAUAUCCUACGCUGGAUAUGCAGUUCUGGAGUAUAGGGACUUCUACUAACAACUCUGCCUAUCUGACGGAGAAACUGCCAUCCCUACACUCGCUC